CGACUCUSGGCAACGGAUAUCUCGGCUCACGCAUCGAUGAAGAACGUAGCAAAAUGCGAUACUUGGUGUGAAUUGCAGAAUCCCGUGAACCAUCGAGUUUUUGAACGCAAGUUGCGCCCGAAGCCUUUUGGCCGAGGGCACGUCUGCCUGGGCGUCACGCA
This 161-nucleotide ribosomal RNA is filed under the name Pentzia peduncularis. RNAcentral describes it as "5.8S ribosomal RNA". It matches the Rfam family "5.8S ribosomal RNA". Rfam says of the family: 5.8S ribosomal RNA (5.8S rRNA) is a component of the large subunit of the eukaryotic ribosome. It is transcribed by RNA polymerase I as part of the 45S precursor that also contains 18S and 28S rRNA. The record is from RNAcentral. Lineage: Eukaryota; Viridiplantae; Streptophyta; Magnoliopsida; Asterales; Asteraceae.